GUCUGCGGCCCACGCCACCCUGAACACGCCCGGUCCCGUCCGAUCCCGGAAGCUCAGGAGGGUCGGGCCUGGUCAGUACUUGGAUGGGAGACCGCCUAGGAAGGCCAGGUGCUGUAGGCG
This 120-nucleotide ribosomal RNA is filed under the name Pteropus alecto (black flying fox). Lineage: Eukaryota; Metazoa; Chordata; Mammalia; Chiroptera; Pteropodidae. The record is from RNAcentral.